RNAcentral lists this non-coding RNA (28 nucleotides) under Mus musculus (house mouse). Lineage: Eukaryota; Metazoa; Chordata; Mammalia; Rodentia; Muridae. The record is from RNAcentral.
UGCAUGGUGUAUGACUGUGGGCCCGAGA